This 253-nucleotide ribosomal RNA is filed under the name uncultured bacterium. RNAcentral's name for it is "partial 16S ribosomal RNA". It matches the Rfam family "Bacterial small subunit ribosomal RNA", at positions 524 to 776 of the family's 1533-position model. The record is from RNAcentral.
UACAGAGGGUGCGAGCGUUGUUCGGAAUUAUUGGGCGUAAAGCGCUUGUAGGCGGUACAGUCAGUCAUGUGUGAAAGCUCUUGGCUCAACCAAGAAAGUGCAUAUGAUACUGCUGUGCUAGAAUCUGAGAGAGGGUGGUGGAAUUCCUAGUGUAGAGGUGAAAUUCGUAGAUAUUAGGAGGAACACCAGAGGCGAAGGCGACCACCUGGAUCAGUAUUGACGCUGAGACGCGAAAGCGUGGGGAGCAAACAGG